This 329-nucleotide unclassified non-coding RNA is filed under the name soil metagenome. RNAcentral describes it as "partial contains 5.8S ribosomal RNA, internal transcribed spacer 2, and large subunit ribosomal RNA". The stretch from base 1 to 120 matches the Rfam family "5.8S ribosomal RNA", at positions 35 to 154 of the family's 154-position model. The record is from RNAcentral.
GAUGAAGAACGUAGUGAAAUGCGAUAAGUAAUGUGAAUUGCAGAAUCUCGUGAAUCAUCGAAUCUUUGAACGCACAUUGCGCCCCCUGGUAUUCCGGGGGGCAUGCCUGUCCGAGCGUCAUUACAACCCUCAAGCUCAGCUUGGUGUUGGGCCCCGCCGCCCCGGCGGGCCCUAAAGUCAGUGGCGGUGCCGUCCGGCUCCGAGCGUAGUAAUUCUUCUCGCUCUGGAGGUCCGGUCGUGUGCUCGCCAGCAACCCCCAAUUUUUUUCAGGUUGACCUCGGAUCAGGUAGGGAUACCCGCUGAACUUAAGCAUAUCAAUAAGCGGAGGA